Thalassophryne amazonica is the source of this 358-nucleotide long non-coding RNA. RefSeq lists it as uncharacterized. Lineage: Eukaryota; Metazoa; Chordata; Actinopteri; Batrachoidiformes; Batrachoididae. The transcript has 3 exons. The record is from RefSeq and is a predicted model, not a curated record.
UGGAACUCAGAACCCUAUUACUGUUGUCCGGAAAGGAGAAUCUUCAUGAGUUGUUUACCUUUGCCAAGUAUUUCACUUACUAAACAACCCUUGGAGUUAUAAAAUGAGAUUUUGUCAGAAGGAACUUUUAGAAUGAAAAGAAAAAAAAAAGCACUUUGAACAAAUGAGUUGUAUAAAUAGUCCAGAAAAUAUGUCAAAAAACACAUGUGCUAAUGUAAUCUACAAGUAUUGCUUAUGUCAUCUCUGUAAAGCACACUGUUAACAAUAGUGUUUGUUUUUAUUUUAAGUAUCAGAUGUCUAAAGAGUAGAUGGACAGUUUGUGUCAGGUUUUUGGCUGCUUUUCCUCAUUUAGUGUACA